RNAcentral lists this ribosomal RNA (253 nucleotides) under uncultured bacterium. RNAcentral describes it as "partial 16S ribosomal RNA". It matches the Rfam family "Bacterial small subunit ribosomal RNA", at positions 524 to 776 of the family's 1533-position model. The record is from RNAcentral.
UACGGAGGAUCCAAGCGUUAUCCGGAAUCAUUGGGUUUAAAGGGUCCGUCGGCGGUUUAGUAAGUCAGUGGUGAAAGCCCAUCGCUCAACGGUGGAACGGCCAUUGAUACUGCUAGACUUGAAUUAUUAGGAAGUAACUAGAAUAUGUAGUGUAGCGGUGAAAUGCUUAGAGAUUACAUGGAAUACCAAUUGCGAAGGCAGGUUACUACUAAUGGAUUGACGCUGAUGGACGAAAGCGUGGGUAGCGAACAGG